AGCACAGGUGAGACGUGGUCUUGUAACACAGUGGUUAAGAAUGUGACUUUGGAGCCAGCCUGCUAGGGGCUGAAUUCUGACUCAGCCAUUUACUAACUGUGUGACCUUAGGUCACAGAAUUUUCCACACUCCUUGACAGAGGUGCUUAACCCUUAUCCAUCAGCAUUCUCAGACAGCACCUCCGGUUAGGGACAGUAUCUGACCGUCCGACAUCCCUGCAGCCCCCAUGUGUCACACAGACUCAGCCUCAGGUAGAUGGUUUCCGUAGAUGGUGGCUUUCUUUGGACCCUUGACAUCAACCAGUUACUAUUUGACUCUUCUGCAGAACCCCAUGUUGACCCCUGCUUUGAGGUGGCAGAGUUAACACUACUCUUCGUUAUAAGCUCUCGUCUGGGGCAACUCAGAAGAACCCAGAGACAGACUCCCAGACUCGGCCAGAGGCUGAUGCCAACUCCUUCCAGCUCUCACGGUAACCAUGAGGCCCCUGCGUGUUUCUGUUGUGGAGGUCCCAGAGGGAACUGUAUGGACAGACACAGCCCGAAGGGCCAUCUGCCUCAAGCCACAGC
RNAcentral lists this long non-coding RNA (566 nucleotides) under Homo sapiens (human). RNAcentral describes it as "PCBP1 antisense RNA 1". The record is from RNAcentral. Lineage: Eukaryota; Metazoa; Chordata; Mammalia; Primates; Hominidae.